This 98-nucleotide ribosomal RNA is filed under the name Nicotiana attenuata. The record is from RNAcentral. Lineage: Eukaryota; Viridiplantae; Streptophyta; Magnoliopsida; Solanales; Solanaceae.
GGAUGUGAUCAUACCAGCACUAACGCACCGGAUCCCAUCAGAACACCGAAGUAGUACUAGGAUGGGUGACCCCCUUGGAUGUCCUCGUGUUACAUCCC